AUUUCACUGAGCUUAUCAAGUAUAUGUUCAUGUCCAUUUUGGUGCCAUCUGCCUUGUGGUAUUCUCAUAAUAAAUGAUAAAGGCUUCUGGUUCACAGGCAUUCGUGCCUCGUAUGGUGGAAAAUGAUAGGAAGAUUUUUGCUGUUAAGGGUGAGAAUUAUCAAGGUAUAGAGACUACAAAGCGAAGAUCGAAGGUGGGCUUAAUGGAUGGGAGGAGGUGAAAAAUGUAGUGGUUGAUCAUGUUACUAACUUUUGGGGUCUCUAUGAAUCCUAUGGUGUUGCAGGUUUGGAUGGGGAAUUGCAGUAAGAGUCUUGUGGCUAGAGUCCAGAGAGUAUCCUCUCUCAAUGUGUGCAAUUGUCUGCUGAAGGUGAUUUCAAGGUGAAAUAAAUAGCUUUCACCAAGCUAAGGAUGCUUAGCCAUACAUCUUCCAAACCGAUAGCCCACAAACAAGAUCGAAUCUUUUGCGCAAGGCAGAUAUUUUACUAUUUAGCCAUUGAGUCGAAUCUAAUAUUUUGUUUAAAUAUAUAUGCAUAAACUUCUAUGCUCAAGUAAUAAAUUCUAGACAAAAGGUACUAUAUUCAAAUCUGGAG
Molecule: unclassified non-coding RNA, 590 nt
Filed under: Hevea brasiliensis (rubber tree)
Lineage: Eukaryota; Viridiplantae; Streptophyta; Magnoliopsida; Malpighiales; Euphorbiaceae
Source: RNAcentral